This 601-nucleotide long non-coding RNA is filed under the name Bos taurus (domestic cattle). Its description in RNAcentral is "long non-coding RNA NONBTAT021840". Lineage: Eukaryota; Metazoa; Chordata; Mammalia; Artiodactyla; Bovidae. The record is from RNAcentral.
GAACCAUCUGAAACUGCCCCCAAGUUGCGUUCCCAGGGACCCUCCCCACUCCGUUUCCACUCGAGAACCAAAGAGCAGCUCACUUCGGCAUCCUGCAGAAGACAAACCCCAUCCAUUCAUUCAUCUGGUGGGUGAACAAGAAGGAAAAGAAGAAACAGAGGUGGGCCGCCAGGCGAAGCGAGAGCGAGAGUACAGUGCUGGAUGAAUGUAUUUUAAAUCUGGUGAAGGAAAAUCAACCUUAAGUCCUGGGCACUUCAGAACAAGUAAAUACAAUCAAUGCCUGAAGCCUGACGGCGCCAAAGCGACGAUCCACCCGGGGCAGGACCAACCCUCACACUUCUCCGCGCUUAGGUAAACGCGCCGCCGCCGCGCGCCGCUGGCGCUGGGAAGAUCUGGCAACUGUAGCGGUGUGGGACUGUCAUCAGAACAUUUCCAUGAUCUUGCUUGAAGCGGCUCUCGGCAGAGGGCUCCAGAAAUAGAACGGCUUGGCUUAGCUUGCCCAGGAACCUACUUGGUGCAGACAAACCAAGCUGGUCACAGGCAGGCACAAUGAGGGAGGAAGGAAUGGAUUAAAUCGAGGAGCGACUAUAUUCCCUUCUGC